RNAcentral lists this long non-coding RNA (1525 nucleotides) under Equus caballus (horse). RNAcentral's name for it is "lncRNA (ENSECAG00000056401.1)". Lineage: Eukaryota; Metazoa; Chordata; Mammalia; Perissodactyla; Equidae. The record is from RNAcentral.
AGCGGGAGCCCUGUCCCCCGUGGGGCGGGAUCCUGGGUGCUUUGUGAGAGCUUAUUGCCACUCGACCCUUCUGUUGCCAGACCUCUCAGCAAUCACGUGUGCCCUCCUACAGACCAGGAAACCGAGGCUCAGAGUAGGGCAGGCCACACAGGUUCAUCUGCAUCUUUACUCUCCUCCCCUCUCCUCCGUGAGCCGGGGAUCACGUCUCCCUCCCCCGGCUCUCAGCACCUGCAACAGACCCCGGCAGGCGAAGACGGAGGGGAGUGGGCAACGCAGAGCAUCUCGCCCGUGGUGGUCUCACCGGGCAGGAACGGAGCAAAGAAGGGCAGCUUCUCCGUGGCUCCCAGAGCCCCAGACGUGGAAACUUAAGACCAUCUUUCGGACUCAAGGAGUCCAAGUCCCCCCUUUACGGAUGAAGAAAACGAGGGCCCCAAAAAGGAUGAGCCCCAUCCAGGGCACCAUCCAGGUAAGGGACAGACCAGAAACCAGCAGAGCCAGUCCGGAGGACCUGAGGUUGGCACGCCACAUGAACGAAGGCCAGCAGGCUGAAGAGAGCUGAGGCUGGAGAGGGGGCUGGGGCUGGGCCAGGCAAGGAGUCUGGACUCGAGGCCAGAGCGAUGGGAAGUCGUUGGACUGGAAAGGUCUAUGAACCACCUGGCUUCGGUUCUUACAGGACCCAUCUGGCGGCCGGGGACUGACUGGCCUGCAGGAGGGCGGGUGGGACAGGAACAGGGACACCCAGGAAGGGGAGCUGACCCUGUGACCCCCUGCUGACUCGACCUCACCGCUCAGAGGGCUGAGGGUCCCUCAGUGGGCGUGUCUUAGCCUGAGCUCCUGAGUUCCACCCCCAAAUCCGCCCCUCCCACUGCCUUCCCAUCUCGAGAAACACAAACUCCAUUCUUCCCCUUGCUCAGGCCAAAAACCUCGGGGUGCCCCAUCCCCGCUUUCUUUCACCCCUGCACCUGAUCCCACAGCAAGUCCCUUUGGUUCCGCCUUCAAAAUAUAACGGGAAUAUAACCACUUCUCUGCUGCUGCCCCCCCCCGCCCCUCCCCCCAGCCUCCCCCCCCAGGUCACCAGGGCGGCUGCACAGGCCUCUGCCUGCCCCCAACCUUGCCCCACACUGUUCCCUCCAUUAGGUGGCCGGGCGGCGGAGGGAGGAGGGAACUGCUAAAAAAAGUUGGAGCACGUCCCUCGGUCUCCAAAGCCUCUGGUGGCUCCCCACCUCCCUCAGAGGGAAGCCCUGACCUUGGCCUCUGAGGCGCCCACGCCCUGGCCCCCAGGCCCUGCCUGGCCCUCUCUCCCGCCGCCGUCUCACCCUCAUCCUGUGCCAUCUCACCCUCAUCCUGUGCCGCAGCCCACCCUCUUCCUUGCUGUGUUAGUCUUCAUGCCUCAAGCCAUUUGCACGGCCGCACUGUCUGCCUGGAAUGCCCUCCGCAGACGUCUGCCGUGCCGGCUCUGGCACCUCCUUUAUGUCAUCAGGUGGCACCUUCUCAGGAGGCCUCCGUGACCACCCCACCUAAAACG